This is a long non-coding RNA of Orbicella faveolata, 964 nucleotides long. NCBI's taxonomy places the organism in Eukaryota, Metazoa, Cnidaria, Anthozoa, Scleractinia, Merulinidae. The record is from RefSeq and is a predicted model, not a curated record.
UCUAAACUAGCUGAAUUUUCAUACUAACUAUGGCGGAAAAUGAAGAAGGGAGCAAGAGAAAAAUCGAAGAAGAAGUGGACGCCACACAGGCUGCACCAAAGCGAGUACGACUUCAAUCGCAAGAUCUGACGGACUUGUCGAAGGAGGACAUUGUGGAAAGGUUAGUAUCUUCAUGACAGCUAAGAUUGAUCAGUUUUGCUCUUACGCGGAACUUUACCAUGCUUUCACUUACAAUUUGUUCCGUUAAUUAACCGAUCCUUGAGCCUUUCUUUAUAGCUUUACUUUUAUUUCAGUCACGAACGUAGUUUAGAAAGGCUAUGAUUGAUACACGUAUUGCAGAUAUAGAUCAGGCUGGUGAAUUUACAACUGAUAACGGUCGCAAAUGAUACUGGAGAAGCAAUCUGGACUUCUUUAUAAUUUUAAAUUUUAGAGUUUGACGUCAAGUUAUGUUCAUAAUUUGCGGCGAGAAAAUUGGUGACUUCCAAAUUCAUUAGCUAUUUAUUUAGUAAAAGGAACGAAAAAAAAAUGGUGAGAGCUAAGCCGCGAAAGUUACAUCUUGGCCGUGAAAGUAAUGCAUAAGACAGACUUACAUUGUAUGACAUGGGGAAUCUUACUAAGUUUACAUACAAAGCAGUGGUGGUGGUGUUUUAUAAAUCAUGCUGUAUUUUUGUUUAUCAAAAUGGAAAGCCAUUGGCCCAGUCUAAACACAAGGGAAAAGUUAAAAUGUACAUUAUUAGACAGUUUUAAGGUUACUGUAUACCUCUGAAUAGUUUCUAUUUGCAUAAGCCAAACAAUGACCAAUCACAGACACUUUCCAGAUAUCUGCACAGCUAUAGCGUCACUAUUAGGUGUCUUACAUCCAGGCAAUGGAGUAGGUCCUGUUUAAAUUAUAGAUACCUAAACCCCGAUAUCAAAUUAAAGCUUUUAGAGCUGGCUAUCAAACUAUGCCAAGAAUUUUGAAAUA